RNAcentral lists this ribosomal RNA (407 nucleotides) under uncultured bacterium. Its description in RNAcentral is "partial 16S ribosomal RNA". It matches the Rfam family "Bacterial small subunit ribosomal RNA", at positions 30 to 526 of the family's 1533-position model. The record is from RNAcentral.
AUUGAACGCUAGCGGGAUGCCUUACACAUGCAAGUCGAACGGAGUGGCGAACGGGUGAGUAAUGUAUCGGAACGUGCCUAGUAGCGGGGGAUAACUACGCGAAAGCGUAGCUAAUACCGCAUACUAUCUGACCGGCCGAUAUCGGAUCAGCUAGUUGGUGGGGUAACGGCGCACCAAGGCAACGAUCCGUAGCUGGUUUGAGAGGAUGACCAGCCAAACUGGGACUGAGACACGGUCCAGACUCCUACGGGAGGCAGCAGUGGGGAAUUUUUGACAAUGGGAGAAACCCUGAUCCAGCCAUCCCGCGGGUGCGAUGAAGGGCUUCGGGUUGUAAAGCACUUUAGGAAGGAAAGCGUUACCUACAGAAUAAGCACCGGCUAACUACGUGCCAGCAGCCGCGGUAAUAC